UACGGAGGGUGCAAGCGUUAUCCGGAUUUACUGGGUUUAAAGGGUGUGUAGGCGGACUUUUAAGUCAGCGGUGAAAUCUCCGGGCUCAACCCGGAAACUACCAUUGAUACUAUUGGUCUUGAAUGUUGUUGAGGUGGGCGGAACGGGUCAUGUAGCGGUGAAAUGCAUAGAUAUGACCCGGAACACCGAUUGCGAAGGCAGCCCACUAAGCAAUGAUUGACGCUGAGGCACGAAAGCGUGGGGAUCAAACAGG
RNAcentral lists this ribosomal RNA (253 nucleotides) under uncultured bacterium. Its description in RNAcentral is "partial 16S ribosomal RNA". It matches the Rfam family "Bacterial small subunit ribosomal RNA", at positions 524 to 776 of the family's 1533-position model. The record is from RNAcentral.